This 439-nucleotide RNase P RNA is filed under the name Spirochaetaceae bacterium. RNAcentral's name for it is "RNase P RNA component class A". It matches the Rfam family "Bacterial RNase P class A". From Rfam's summary of the family: Ribonuclease P (RNase P) is a ubiquitous endoribonuclease, found in archaea, bacteria and eukarya as well as chloroplasts and mitochondria. Its best characterised activity is the generation of mature 5'-ends of tRNAs by cleaving the 5'-leader elements of precursor-tRNAs. Lineage: Bacteria; Pseudomonadati; Spirochaetota; Spirochaetia; Spirochaetales; Spirochaetaceae. The record is from RNAcentral.
UUCGGCUGCCGUGUUUCCGAGGAAAGUCCGGGCUCCGCAGGGCAUGAUGCCGGGUAACACCCGGGCGGGGAUACGUUCCCGACAGAGAGCGCAACAGAAAGAAAACCGCCGAAAAAACCGGUUUCUCUGCAAGGAGGUGUCCGGUUUGUCCGGGGCCCCAGGGUCCCGGUCCGGUAAGGGUGAAAGGGCGGGGUAAGAGCCCACCGCGGUUCCGGCAACGGAACCGGUGAAAGGUACCGUUCCGGUUUUUACCGGGGCGGUAUCCGGCAAGCCUCAUCAGGAGCAAAGUCAAGCAGCGGUUUAACGGCCCGUUAGAUACCGCGGGUAGACUGCAGGGAGCCUGCCUGUAAAGGCAGGUCAAGACAGAUGGCAUUACACGGGAUACCGGCGCAAGCCGCCAUGCCCGUGACAGAAUCCGGCUUAUGGUUCAUCGUUUUUU